Molecule: long non-coding RNA, 321 nt
Filed under: Gossypium raimondii (Peruvian cotton)
Lineage: Eukaryota; Viridiplantae; Streptophyta; Magnoliopsida; Malvales; Malvaceae
Description: long non-coding RNA (GRAI_LNC009717)
Source: RNAcentral
GGAGGAUGGGGUCACUGGUUAACUUGGAGCAAGCCAUUCGAGCUUUGGACAUUGGGCUGCUUUGUACGUUAAAUGAGUCUAAGGGUAGGCCUAAAAUGGAAGAAGUGGUGGAGUUUCUCAGCAUGGACAAACAAAUUCCUGAGCUGCCUGCUUGUAGACCCGUCUCAUUGUUCCCUUACAACAGUGCCACAAGUCUUUGCACUGGUUAUUCUUGCGGCCCAUUCAAGUGAAUCCAGCUGUUUGCCUGCUUGUAUAAAACUUUCAAGAUCGGUUUAGUAUAUGUACAAAAAUGUCGGUCAGUCAAGCUAUUGUAUUUUAAGA